Nematostella vectensis (starlet sea anemone) is the source of this 1334-nucleotide long non-coding RNA. RefSeq lists it as uncharacterized. The record is from RefSeq and is a predicted model, not a curated record. Lineage: Eukaryota; Metazoa; Cnidaria; Anthozoa; Actiniaria; Edwardsiidae. The transcript has 2 exons.
CUUUUGUUUAGUUUGGCAGCGUUAACUUUCUUUGUCCUCGCACCUCACACAAAGACUCCACAUCGAACAUGAAAGCCCAAUAUAGGCGGCAGUAAUCUCAGAGCAAACUCAACGAGAGAGACUGCAUAGUGCUAAAGGGACUCUUUUUUUAAAAAUAGUACGGCUUGAAGUUCAAUAUAUCCAGACGUUGCCUCGAACACACCAUGUGCUAACAUGCCGAGAAAACCCCAACCAAAUUCCUACCUCGGCAACGGUACGCUAAACACACGCUCAAGGGUUUGUUAGAUCUCGCCAGAUUCCACCCACGACACGGCUCCCUUAUCGCUCUUUCCGCAGAUGCUGUUUGCGAAAUCGCGAUGGGAGCUUCGGGUGAUAAUAGGCGGUGAGGUGUUAACGUAAUUGACACUGGGGACAUGAAGAAGUGGGAGACUUGAUGAAGUGUUGGCCCCUCCUUUGCCUGGAAAACCCAUGAUCAACCCCCAAGUUGCCAGAUUUUCCCUGAUGGAUUUCACUUGUCACGCGCUGCAAAUUUGUUUCUUUAAAUGGCCGAUGUUUUACACGCUUGGCUACAACGAUUACAUCUAGCUUUUUUCAAACUAUUAUGUCCGACCACAUGUUUACGUAACACAUUUAGAUCAUUUGAUUAUGAUGAAUGUAAUCAAGAGCGAUACGGAUGUAUUUUAUGUAUUUGUAAUGUUGGCUUUUUAAACAUUACAUUUGAUUUUCUGCAAUCCAAAAAUUUUCAAAAAAUUAGAGAUUACGCCUACAUGGCUGGCGGAUUUAAUAAACGUCAAGCACUGCGUAGUAUUUCCAGUGACUAGCUCUAGAGAAAUGAAAUUUGACCAUUCAAAAUGGACUUCGAAGUGGUAUAUGUAUAAACAUCCGCCACCUCAGCUUGCAGACCAAAGGCUGGGCUGCGAUUAUAAUCAGAAUGCCAUCCGUCAUAAUUACUGGCACCAUGAGUGCCUCCCGACCACGCUUGACGAUAGAAUUUGACACGUUCUGGUCAUUAAAGAGACUGUCAUCAAUCCAACCGUCUAUAUUAUAGACGGAAUCAUCGUAUACAUAACUACAAAUAUAUUACACAAAAACACUACACACAUACACUACAAAUACACUAUUACCUUUGUAAAAAUAUCUAUACACAUUUUCCACAGAGGGGUUGAUUUAACAAAAUGUUCAGGAUAGCGUUGGCGUAAAAAUAAGUCUGAACCGUCUGACAGGAUAUAAGGGUAGGAUAGCAUUGACUCGAACACUGUAUACAAAUGCCAAAUCGCUAUCAACUCCAAGAAUCACUCGUAAAAUAAAUAAACUUUUGUGCUCGCGCAAUUACG